CCUACGGGAGGCAGCAGUGGGGGAUAUUGCACAAUGGGGGAAACCCUGAUGCAGCGACGCCGCGUGGGUGAAGAAGCGCCUCGGCGCGUAAAGCCCUGUCAGCAGGGAAGAAAAUGACGGUACCUGAAGAAGAAGCCCUGGCUAACUACGUGCCAGCAGCCGCGGUAAUACGUAGGGGGCAAGCGUUAUCCGGAUUUACUGGGUGUAAAGGGGGCGCAGACGGCGAUGCAAGCCAGUAGUGAAAGCCCGGGGCCCAACCCCGGGACUGCUCUUGGAACUGCGUGGCUAGAGUGCAGGAGGGGCAGGGGGAAUUCCUGGUGUAGCGGUGAAAUGCGUAGAUAUCAGGAGGAACACCGGUGGCGAAGGCGGCCUGCUGGACUGCAACUGACGUUGAGGCCCGAAAGCGUGGGGAGCAAACAGGAUUAGAGACCCUUGUAGUC
This 440-nucleotide ribosomal RNA is filed under the name uncultured bacterium. Its description in RNAcentral is "partial 16S ribosomal RNA". It matches the Rfam family "Bacterial small subunit ribosomal RNA", at positions 338 to 795 of the family's 1533-position model. The record is from RNAcentral.